UCAACCGAGCAGCAGGUCGACUUGAACACCCUUGUUGCUCCCUCCUCUCCUUCCACUACCGUCAGCCUUGAACUCGCAGCUCGUCUACUCAACCUCAGCCUGCCUUCCACUACUACUAUAUGCUAGCUGCCCAUGUACUACUUGAACUGCAACUACUCGAUGGAUCCAAGAAGUAUGAACUAGAUAGUUGAUAAAACCCGGGAAAUGGGCAUCAACUCCUAUUUCUAGGGUCAUUUAUGAGUUACGUAGUAUAUAUACGUUUGCAAGUCAAAGCAAGAAUAUGGUAUGAAAUCGUUGAUAAAACCCGGCAUUUUGGGUUCAAAAACGACUCAAUAAGGGUCUCGGUCUGUAGCCUCAAAAACAACAUCUUUCAUAAAGCCAAUGAUUAACACAUUCGUUCUUUAGAUGCAGUUAUUAAGACACUCUCCAGACUUCUAAUACAACUACUAAACUGAACUCAGACUACCUUGACUACGACUAGCUAUUCAUACACGUGAACGAGAUCUAAUACUUCUAGUAGUAACACCGUAGUAUCGAAAGACUUGCAUACGACUAGCUUGAAUGAACUCCUCUCGGCAACCCUCAAGUUCCACGUAGUAUCUCUAACGACGGCUAGCAGCAAGAACUACUACGAAGAGAUAUUGAACUACGUGAACGAGUAAGAAUACUACUACGUAUGCGACUCUAUCGAACGACGGUAAACUCCACUAGCAACUAAUACGAAUUGAUAUUACUACUAUCGAAAGAUAACUAAUACAACUACGUAUAAAAACUAGCUACUAGAAUAGACUACGACUAACGAGUUCUUCAACUUCCACGUACUUGCUAUCGAAAGACUCCACGAAUCAAGUAAGAGAGCUUGCAGUCCAAUUACUUCUAAACGUAGUAACACCUACGAUCGAAAGACUUGCAUACGAGGUUAUUGACAACUACGUGAACGACUGACUCAACAACUACGUCACUCCUUUCGACGGUAAGGCUAGCUACUCAUACGAAUUGCUAUUCAUACUCUCGAUAGACUACUAAUAUGAAUACGUAACUCAGACUCAGACUCCAAUACGAGUACUGGCUUUCCUCUUUCGACUACUCUACUGACUGCACUGGCUUGGCCCUACCGGCAACUGGGUACUGCCCUCUACUGCCCCGCCUCAAUCCCAGUUCGAACAGCUCGAUGGUUGGUUUGGCAUCUACUAGCUACUAGCACUGAAUGAAACACUAGUCAACUCGAAGGUGGUUUGGGCAUCGGCAACUACUAGCUCACCUUACCGGACCUAGCCCAACGACUAUAGCGAGCCCCCCUGCCCGGCUUCUCUCGUUACUACUAGCUCUACUGUAUGAAAUGAACUACUAGCCCCUGCCCGGCAACACCUGCCUAGCUAGCUUGAAACCACCACUAGCACUACUAUAGCGACUGCUGCAUAGGGCUUGCAUCCAUUCCCCUACUAUAUAGCUACUACUGAGCUGGGUGAACACAGUGGUUUGAAAGGUUGCCUCAACUAACUACCUAGCUGCAACUGGGUCCUUGCACCCAACCGCCUAGGCCAGCUUCCCAACUAGCUAUACUGACAUACCUCAUGUCCAACUAGUCCCCUUACCGGAACGACUAGCCCAACGACGUGGCCGACCCUAGCUGCCUUGCCCGGACUAGCUGCUUGGCAACUCGAUUGGUCUACUGCCCACCCCGCUCUCGAUUUGGUAAUCAACCGUCCUACUAUGCCUCCAACAGCUCCCCCGGUCUUGCAACCAUACCUUCUACUUAACUAGUACCUGCCGCUUCUACUCCCAGCUCCAACUACUAGGCACAGGCUUGAUGGUGAUGGUCCCACUACUAGCAUCCGUCCCGACCCGCCUACUAAUACUAGCUUCGGAGGAUAAGCCCGGCCCCAUGCCCCAACUACUAGUGGUUGACAUAUCAAUCGAGCAACUCGCACUAGCCCAUCCGCAUUGAACUCCUCUCUCAAGCGUUAUUCAACAACUACGUACUUGCUACUGACUUUCGAUAACUACUAUUCUUAUUAAGACACUAUCGAGUAAGAAUAUGAAUACGUAUUAUGUUGUUAAUACUAGCUACUACGACUUCUUCAAUCAACAACUACGUAUGAGCUAUCGUCAUAACUCUAAUACGAAUUUCUUGAUAGACUCUCUCAAGCCGUAAUUCAAGUUAUAGUAGUAACACCGGUACGGGUAACUCACUUUCGAACAUACGAUUAGAUUGACUACUACGUUAACGACAUCUUCAACUACUACGUACGAGGGUCAGGCUAGCAAGAACAACUA
Molecule: long non-coding RNA, 2277 nt
Filed under: Amborella trichopoda
Lineage: Eukaryota; Viridiplantae; Streptophyta; Magnoliopsida; Amborellales; Amborellaceae
Description: long non-coding RNA (ATRI_LNC000011)
Source: RNAcentral